RNAcentral lists this ribosomal RNA (433 nucleotides) under uncultured bacterium. RNAcentral describes it as "partial 16S ribosomal RNA". It matches the Rfam family "Bacterial small subunit ribosomal RNA", at positions 29 to 507 of the family's 1533-position model. The record is from RNAcentral.
AACGAACGCUGGCGGCAUGCCUAACACAUGCAAGUCGAACGAGACCUUCGGGUCUUUUGGCGCACGGUUUCGUAACGCGUGGUAACCUUCCCUUAUGUUCGGAAUAACUCCCCGAAUGGGGUGCUAAUACCGGUUAAUGUCUUCUGACCAAAGAUUUAUCGCCUUUGGUUGGUCCCGCAUUGGAUUAGCUAGUUGGUAGGGUAAAAGCAUACCAAGGCGACGAUCCAUAGAUGGUCUGAGAGGAUGAUCAGCCACACUGGGACUGAGACACGGCACAGACUACUACGGGAGGGAGCAGUGGGGAAUAUUGGAAAAUGGGCGAAAGACUGAACGAGCAAUGCGGGGUGAGUGAUGAAGGGCUUAGGGAAGUAAAGCUCUUUUAACCGGGAUGAUAAUGACAGUACCGGGAGAAUAAGCUCCGGCUAACUCCGUG